UAGUCCACGCCGUAAACGAUGAUAACUCGUUGCUGGCGAUACAUUGUCAGUGACCAAGCGAAAGUGUUAAGUUAUCCACCUGGGGAGUACGAUCGCAAGAUUGAAACUCAAAGGAAUUGACGGGGGCCCGCACAAGCGGAGGAACAUGUGGUUUAAUUCGAUGAUACGCGAGGAACCUUACCUGGACUUAAAUGUACGUUGCAUAGAUCAGAGAUGGUCUUUUCUUCGGACUACGUACAAGGUGCUGCAUGGUUGUCGUUAGCUCGUGCCGUGAGGUGUCGGGUUAAGUCCCAUAACGAGCGCAACCCUUAUCCUUAGUUGCCAGCGAGUAAUGUCGGGGACUCUGAGGAGACUGCCACCGUAAGGUGCGAGGAAGGUGGGGAUGACGUCAAAUCAGCACGGCCCUUAUGUCCAGGGCUACACACGUGUUACAAUGGGGGUACAGAGGGUAGCUACCUGGUAACAGGAUGCCAAUCUCAAAAAGCCUCUCUCAGUUCGGAUUGAGGUCUGCAA
Molecule: ribosomal RNA, 513 nt
Filed under: uncultured bacterium
Lineage: Bacteria
Description: bacterial SSU rRNA
Rfam family: Bacterial small subunit ribosomal RNA
Source: RNAcentral